This 292-nucleotide ribosomal RNA is filed under the name Escherichia coli. RNAcentral's name for it is "partial 16S ribosomal RNA". It matches the Rfam family "Bacterial small subunit ribosomal RNA", at positions 505 to 796 of the family's 1533-position model. The record is from RNAcentral. Lineage: Bacteria; Pseudomonadati; Pseudomonadota; Gammaproteobacteria; Enterobacterales; Enterobacteriaceae.
GUGCCAGCAGCCGCGGUAAUACAGAGGGUGCAAGCGUUAAUCGGAAUUACUGGGCGUAAAGCGCGCGUAGGUGGUUAGUUAAGUUGGAUGUGAAAUCCCCGGGCUCAACCUGGGAACUGCAUUCAAAACUGACUGACUAGAGUAUGGUAGAGGGUGGUGGAAUUUCCUGUGUAGCGGUGAAAUGCGUAGAUAUAGGAAGGAACACCAGUGGCGAAGGCGACCACCUGGACUGAUACUGACACUGAGGUGCGAAAGCGUGGGGAGCAAACAGGAUUAGAAACCCCUGUAGUCC